This 1013-nucleotide long non-coding RNA is filed under the name Nicotiana tabacum (common tobacco). RNAcentral describes it as "long non-coding RNA (NTAB_LNC007589)". Lineage: Eukaryota; Viridiplantae; Streptophyta; Magnoliopsida; Solanales; Solanaceae. The record is from RNAcentral.
UAAAAGGAGAGAGAGAGAUUCGUCAAAAGAGAAGGAAGCAUAAGCCACACAGGAGCCGAGCAAAAGAAGAAGAAAAGGGUUUUUGGUGGCUUCAAACUGAGAGAAAUCAAAUCGUAGCCGUUGAAUCGUAUUUCUCUCAAUCAGACGGUUUACAUCUCUGUAUUGAUAUCUUCUUACUCCGGUGGUGAAGAGAAAGAAAGGCGGUGUACAGGUUGCCGUAAAAAGAGAGACAAACAGAGGCGCGAUCUCUCAGAUCUGGCCGUCUGGUGAGUAGUCUAAUCAACUUCAUUCAUUCAAUUUUUUUGUAGAUUGUAUUUCUUUUUGUUAUGUGUUUGUUGUUCUUUGAUUCGUUAUUCACUUGUCAGUUUUAUUUAAAUUUGUUUGAGAGGACGAAAGAAUAGUGAUUUUCAGCGGAAUUAUUGGUUUUUUAAGAUUAUUUUAGUUUUUUUUUCUUUUUCGGUAUUAUUUUUUAGUAAUUGAAUGAAAAUGAGAGUUUCGAGUUAAAUGUAACUAUGUAAGUUAUUGCGAGAUUAAGAGUUUAUGUUAUUGGAUAAAAAUGAGAGUUUCGAGUGUGAUACUGCUGAGUAAUUAAUUAGAUUCUACAGAUUUUAUUGUGUAAACACGUGUAUAAAGCGAUUUUCAGUUUUAUAAGUAAUUUAUAGCUUUGCAUUGAUUGUGAAAUAUAGGUUUAACAGUUUUUUUAGCUAUAACUCUUAAGUAUCAAGGAAACGUAGGUUUUAGUGUUAAUUCCGAUUCUUGAAGAUCUUGACAAAGAUCUGUUUAGUGUGAUGUAUUGGUUUUCAAUGGCUAAUUAGUUUUGUUUUAUUGCAAUUCUUGAUUAAGUGCGUAAAUUUAUUAAGUUUUGUGUGUGUUCACAGAUUGUGGUUCACUGCUAUAAUCCGGGUCAUCAGAUGGCUCUUUCGAUGUAACAUUUGGGAUCUUGAUCAUUCGCUGUUGGUUGUUUGACGUGCGAGUGAUUGAUAGUGUUCUUGUGUUCGGUGGUAACAACUUUG